AUGAACGUUAGCGGCAGGCCUAACACAUGCAAGUCGAGGGGUAACAGGGUGCUUGCACCGANGACGACCGGCGCACGGGUGNGUAACGCGUAUACAAUCUACCUCGUACAGGGGAAUAGCCCAUAUAAAUAUGGAUUAAUGCCCCAUGAUAUUAUUAUAUAGCAUUAUUGGAUAAUUAAACAUUCGUGGCUACAAGAUGAGUAUGCGUUCUAUUAGUUAGUAGGUGUGGUAACGGCUUACCAAGACUACCAUAGAUAGGGGUCCUGAGAGGGAGAUCCCCCACACUGGUACUGAGACACGGACCACACUCCUACGGGAGGCAGCAGUGAGGAAUAUUGGACAAUGGGCGCAACUCUGAUCCAGCCAUGCCGCGUGCAGGAAGACNGCCCUAUGGGUUGUAAACUGCUUUUAUAGAGGAAGAAACACUCCUAACCGUAGGAGUUUGACGGUACUCUACGAAUAAGGAUCGGCUAACUCCGUGCCAGCAGCCGCGGUAAUACGGAGGAUCCAAGCGUUAUCCGGAAUCAUUGGGUUUAAAGGGUCCGUAGGCGGGACAAUCAGUCAGCGGUGAAAGUCCGUGGCUCAACCAUAGAAUUGCCUUUGAUACUGUUGUUCUUGAAUACUUAUGAAGUGGUUGGAAUAUGUAGUGUAGCGGUGAAAUGCAUAGAUAUUACAUAGAACACCGAUUGCGAAGGCAGCCCACUAACAGUGAACUGACGCUGAUGGACGAAAGCGUGGGUAGCGAACAGGAUUAGAUACCCUGGUAGUCCACGCCGUAAACGAUGGUUACUAGCUGUUCGGUCGCAAAACUGAGUGGUUAAGCGAAAGUGAUAAGUAUUCCACCUGGGGAGUACGUUCGCAAGAAUGAAACUCAAAGGAAUUGACGGGGGCUUAAAUGUUGUUUGACAGAUUUGGAAACAGAUCUUUCGCAAGACAAAUUACAAGGUGGUGCAUGGUUGUCGUCAGCUCGUGCCGUGAGGUGUCAGGUUAAGUCCUAUAACGAGCGCAACCCCUGUUGUUAGUUGCCAGCGAGUCAUGAUGGGAACUCUAACAAGACUGCCNGUGCAAACUGUGAGGAAGAUGGGGAUGACGUCAAAUCAUCACGGCCCUUACGUCAUGGGCCACACACGUGCUACAAUGGUAGGGACAGAGCGCAGCCACUGGGCGACCAGGAGCGAAUCUAUUAAACCCUAUCACAGUUCGGAUCGGAGUCUGCAACUCGACUCCGUGAAGGUGGAAUCGCUAGUAAUCGCAUAUCAGCCAUGAUACGGUGAAUAGGUUCCCGGACCUUGUACACACCGCCCGUCAAGCCAUGGAAGCUGGGGGUACCUGAAGUCNAUCACCGCAAGGAGCCGCCUCGGGUAAGAUUGGUAACUAGGGCUAAGUCGUAACAAGGUA
This 1398-nucleotide ribosomal RNA is filed under the name marine psychrophile IC148. Its description in RNAcentral is "16S ribosomal RNA". It matches the Rfam family "Bacterial small subunit ribosomal RNA". Lineage: Bacteria; Pseudomonadati; Bacteroidota. The record is from RNAcentral.